This 700-nucleotide ribosomal RNA is filed under the name uncultured organism. RNAcentral's name for it is "bacterial SSU rRNA". It matches the Rfam family "Bacterial small subunit ribosomal RNA", at positions 96 to 827 of the family's 1533-position model. The record is from RNAcentral.
UGGCAGACGGCUGAGUAAUACAUGGGAAUCUACCUCAAACUCGAGAAUAGCCCAUCGAAAGGUGGUGUAAUACUCGAUAGUUCCGUUUACGGUAAAGCUCCGGCGGUUUGAGAUGAGCCCAUGUCCUAUCAGGUUGUUGGUGGGGUAAUUGCCUACCAAGCCUAUGACGGGUAGCUGGUUUGAGAGGAUGAUCAGCCAGACUGGGACUGCGAUACGGCCCAGACUCCUACGGGAGGCAGCAACUAGGAAUCAUGCGCAAUGGACGAAAGUCUGACGCUGCGACGUCGCGUGAGGGAUGAAGGUCUUCGGAUCGUAAACCUCUUUUAUCUGGGAACAAGUUCUGAGUGUACCAGAUGAAUAAGUGCCUGCCAACCACGUGCCAGAAGCAUCGGUAAUGCGUGGGGCACGAGCGUUAUCCGGAUUUACUGGGCGUAAAGAGAUGCGUAGGCGCCUUCUUAAGUCACUUGUACAAUCUCCCCGCUCAACGGGGAAACUGCAAGUGAUACUGAAUUGCUUGAGUCAAGUAGAGGAGAGGGGAAUUCCUGGUGGAGCGGUUAAAUGCGUUGAUAUCAGGAGGAAUACCAAGUGCGAAGGCACCUCUCUGGACUUGUACUGACGCUAAGGCUCGAAAGUGUGGGGAGCAAAACGGAUUAGAUACCCGUGUAGUCCACACUGUAAACGAUCCCUGCUAGAUGUUUGC